UACGUAGGGGGCAAGCGUUGUCCGGAAUUAUUGGGCGUAAAGCGCGCGCAGGCGGUUUUUUAAGUCUGGUGUUUAAUCCCGGGGCUCAACCCCGGUACGCACUGGAAACUGGGAAGCUGGAGUACAGAAGAGGAGAGUGGAAUUCCACGUGUAGCGGUGAAAUGCGUAGAGAUGUGGAGGAACACCAGUGGCGAAGGCGACUCUCUGGUCUGUAACUGACGCUGAGGCGCGAAAGCGUGGGGAGCGAACAGG
RNAcentral lists this ribosomal RNA (252 nucleotides) under uncultured bacterium. RNAcentral's name for it is "partial 16S ribosomal RNA". It matches the Rfam family "Bacterial small subunit ribosomal RNA", at positions 524 to 776 of the family's 1533-position model. The record is from RNAcentral.